GAAGGUCUGGCCCUUCGGCGUCGCCCUGCGGGGGGAGACGUCAAACCGCCUCAAGCUGCGUUGGCUGAAGACCGUCGUGGUGAGCGUUGAGGAAAAGGCGCACGUGAUGCGUCAGGU
RNAcentral lists this non-coding RNA (117 nucleotides) under Nonomuraea solani. The record is from RNAcentral. Lineage: Bacteria; Bacillati; Actinomycetota; Actinomycetes; Streptosporangiales; Streptosporangiaceae.